UACGUAGGGCGCAAGCGUUAUCCGGAAUUAUUGGGCGUAAAGAGCUCGUAGGCGGUUUGUCGCGUCUGCCGUGAAAGUCCGGGGCUCAACUCCGGAUCUGCGGUGGGUACGGGCAGACUAGAGUGAUGUAGGGGAGACUGGAAUUCCUGGUGUAGCGGUGGAAUGCGCAGAUAUCAGGAGGAACACCGAUGGCGAAGGCGGUUCUCUGGGCAUGUCCUGACGCUGAGGAGCGAAAGUGUGGGGAGCGAACAGG
Molecule: ribosomal RNA, 253 nt
Filed under: uncultured bacterium
Lineage: Bacteria
Description: partial 16S ribosomal RNA
Rfam family: Bacterial small subunit ribosomal RNA
Source: RNAcentral